Long non-coding RNA from Ostrinia nubilalis (European corn borer), 2506 nucleotides. RefSeq lists it as uncharacterized. The transcript is spliced from 2 exons. NCBI's taxonomy places the organism in Eukaryota, Metazoa, Arthropoda, Insecta, Lepidoptera, Crambidae. The record is from RefSeq and is a predicted model, not a curated record.
CCGGAUUCAAUUACAAUAUUAAUAAUAUCUAACAAAUAACAAAGAGAAGGCGCAGUAAGAUGUGAUAAAAACGAGUAUGGAAUGCUGUCUUGGCCAGGGCAGGAAUCUGAUACAUGCUCUAAAACUAAUUUUAGUUCUCUCAUAGAAAAUGGCGAGCUAAAAUAGUCGUUAGAACAGUUAUUAUUAGAAAGUGAAUAUGUGUAAGGCAUUUGAGUAGCGUUAGGAACGUAGUUAGGAGCUAAUUUGUUUGUAAAAGCAUUUACCCAGUCUAAACUAAAAGAGUUACGAUUUGCGAUUGAUAAAGAAGAUCGAAAACGUUUAAUAUUGUUCCAAACAAUAGUGAGUGGAGUGUCUGGCGACAAAGAAGAACAGAACUUUUGCCAGCCAGCUUUCUUUUUUUUCCUCAACAACCGCUUGGUUGCAGCAGUAACAUUUUUUAACUUUAAAUAGUUUUCCAUACUUAGUGAAUCGCGACAUGCUUUUUCGGCAUCUUUUCUUUUUUUAAUAGCCGCCGUGCAUUCUGGAUCCCACCAAGGCGGUGAGGGUAAUUUAUUGUUGGCAACAUUUUUACGUUUAAAAACUGCAUCAGCUGAUGAUUGAAUGGCUGACACUAAGCUGUCAAAUGAGUUAUUGAGGUUAUCUUUACAAACUUUCGGCAAUAACUUGACUUUCUGCUCAACAGAUAUGCUAAAUGAAUACCAAUCACAAUUGUUUAGAAUAUAUUUACGCAAGGGAGGAAGUGGAUCUACAGAACAGUUGUUCUUUGGUAACGUAAUGACAAUCGGAACAUGGUCACUACCAUAAGUGGAUGAUAAACAUCUCCAACUCAGACUCAAAGAUAGCGUAGGUGAACAAAGUGAGAUAUCGACAAAACUUAAAGAUUGGCCGGGACAGGGUCUCCUUGUUGCUGAACCAUCGUUUAAAACGCACAGAUUUAACUCGUCUAUAAGCUCCACAAGAUCACUACCAAAUGAAUCAUUGACUGGUGCACCCCAAAGAGAAUGGUGUGCAUUAAAAUCACCUAAAAUUAACACAGGCGCAGGAAGAGAUAGGAUUAAAUUUCUUAAAAUCGGAAUAACAGAUGAAUCUUUGCAAGAAAUGUAUACAGACAGUACUGAAAUAUCCCCAAUUUUUGCAGCUACUGCAUUCAAGUGAUUAUUAUUGUAGGAAGGAAGUGCUAGUGAUGUAAAUAAGUAAUGUUUUUUAAUCAGUAGAGCGGCACCACCCCACCCAUCAUCUCUGUCAUCUCUCAAGACUGAAUAGCCACGAACUCUAAAGUUAUAGCCUGGCUUCAGCCAGGUUUCAGAGACAGCUAUGGCAAAUGGCUGGUGUUGGUUAAUUAAUGUAAUGAGUUCAAUUGUUUUAGACGAAAUGCUUCUACAAUUCCACUGGAGGAUUUGAUCCAUUUUUGAUAAUGUUAUAAAUAGAGACUGACAAGUUGUUAAUUAAAGAAAUGGCAACGGAGUACGGUAAUGCAGAGUUAACUAUAAUAUUAAUCAAUGAAGACAGCAGAUUAUUUAGAUCCUGAGAGGAGACAGAGUUUUGAAGGUGAAGGUGAUUUGGGAGAACUAGCUGUGACAUCUGAGUAUGACUUAGUGAAUGGAAACUGUUUAGAGGCUUCUAGAUAUGAUACUGUGUUAACUGACAUAUAAUGCUUUAUGUUUUUUUGUCGUAUAAAUUCGGGACAGGUUUGUUCAUUUGCUUGAUGUUUCCCUGCACAAUUAAUGCAGGAAACAUCUGUCUCGUCGCAAUUAGAGCCUGAGUGGUCCCCAGUGCAUUUAAAGCACCUGGGUUUGCUUCUGCAUUGAACCCUGGUAUGUCCAAAACGACAACAGUUAAAACACUGAAUUGUUGGGAAUAUGUACUGGUCAACAGGCAGUGAGGAAAAAAAGGAAUAAAUUCGGGGAGGAAGAGCUUGACCAUCGAAUGUAAGGACUACCGUCUGAGUGGGCAACCAUUUAGGGCCUUCAAGUGAUGUAACUUUGCGGCUAAGCCGGCGAGACCGAAUUAUUGGACCAAAGCCUUCAGGAACUCUUAAAUUUCCUACAAUCUCUUCAUGCGACCAUUCGCAGGGAAUGCCUUUGACAAUGCCCAUUUUGGUGAUAUUGUAUGUUGGGAUAGAUAAAACAUAAUCAUGUAAUAUAAUUGGAUUACACAAAAAUGAGUUUGCCGCACCAGGUGUUUUGAAUGUCACUGCCAAUCGAUUUCGCCCUAUUCGUUUAAUGCCAUCAUCCAAAAUAUUUUUUAAAUUAUUUCUGAAUAGAAAAUUCCCAAAUUUGAUGGGGUGAAGAGUGGAGCCAGAGUUGGGAGUUUCUUUUUGUUGGACAUGUACCAGAAAAGGACCUGCAUCCUGAUCCUGGUAAUUGUUUCUGCCUAUUAUAUGGUUAUUCUGUUGAGAAUGUUGGAUCACCGGAGCUGGAGGAACUUGCGUUAAAAUUUCUUGAAAAGCAGUGGUAAUGUGCAUUUUAGGAGAGGAUUUGGUCUUUAAUAAAUGUUUGUUAAUUUU